This 962-nucleotide long non-coding RNA is filed under the name Chlamydomonas reinhardtii. RNAcentral describes it as "long non-coding RNA (CREI_LNC000865)". The record is from RNAcentral. Lineage: Eukaryota; Viridiplantae; Chlorophyta; Chlorophyceae; Chlamydomonadales; Chlamydomonadaceae.
GGCGCGCUGCUGUUCGCGGGCCAGCCCUACGACCCCGCCGCCGCCACCGCCUCAGCCGACCCGUUCAUGCUGCUGCUGAACGGCGAGGAGGGCGAGUCGGCCUCGGCCGGCACCCUCAUCAUCUCCGACCUCAACCUUGCCUGGUUCAACGACGACGGCAGCCUCAACUGGGGCCUGGUGACGCUCCUCAUCCUGACCGCCGGCACCCUGGCCAUGCUGGUGGGCUUCGUGGUCAGCUGGCUGUCGCUGCGCCGCACCAUGCGCACUGCGGUCGUGUAUCCCGGCGGCGCGGCGGCCUGGCGGCGCGCUGGCGCGCGCCGCGUCUGCGCGGCCAAGGCCGGCGCCGGCUCGGAGGGCGGCGAGUGCGACUCGUUGGACAACCCGCUGCUGCUGCUGCCCGAGGUGAGGCAGGCGCUGCGUGGGGUGCUUGGGCUGUGGGAGGCGGCAUGGAUGGGGCUUGUGUGUGGAUGGAUGGGAAUGCCAUUGUCUGAAUGUUUGCCAACCCCAGCAGUAUUGGGCACGCUGCGGUAUCUGGCGCAGAAACAGUUGCACUUACGCCACCGCUGUUGCAACUGCUACCUGUUAUGCCGCAGGACUGCUAUGGUGCUGAGCCGCUAAAGAUCGAGUGCGCGUCCACGUACGUGCCACCAGUGCUGCCCAACGAGAGCGUUGCCAAGGUGCUGUGCAAAUAAACUCUUCCUUUUUUGCGCAUCAAUGGGGCGUAAGUCGUGAGCGUAUGCUGCAACCAGUAGCCCCAGACGUGGGCCCUCUUCUUUUGGUGCAUAGUGCGCUUGUGUGGCGCUUGUGUGAAGCGCGCGGGUAAGGGAAGCAGUUGGCAGUGCAGCAGUGAUUGCACACUACCGUAUCACGUCAGCACCUCGCAGCACGACCUCGAAGCGUUUGCAAACAAUAUUUGUCGAAUCAGGGAAGCUCUGUGCUUGCUUAGUGUGAUUGUGUGCUGC